RNAcentral lists this transfer RNA (73 nucleotides) under Spirochaetes bacterium GWB1_36_13. RNAcentral's name for it is "tRNA-Asn". It matches the Rfam family "tRNA". From Rfam's summary of the family: Transfer RNA (tRNA) molecules are approximately 80 nucleotides in length. Lineage: Bacteria; Pseudomonadati; Spirochaetota. The record is from RNAcentral. RNAcentral also lists the same sequence under 1 other name.
UCCUCAAUAGCUCAGUCGGUAGAGCAAGCGGCUGUUAACCGCUGGGUCGUAGGUUCGAGUCCUACUUGGGGAG